CACGUAGGGGGCAAGCGUUGUCCGGAUUUAUUGGGCGUAAAGAGCUCGUAGGCGGUUCGGUAAGUUGGGUGUGAAACCUCCAGGCUCAACCUGGAGACGCCACCCGAUACUGCUGUGACUAGAGUCCGGUAGGGGAGCGUGGAAUUCCUGGUGUAGCGGUGAAAUGCGCAGAUAUCAGGAGGAACACCGAUGGCGAAGGCAGGUCUCUGGGCAUUAACUGACGCUGAGGAGCGAAAGCAUGGGGAGCGAACAGG
RNAcentral lists this ribosomal RNA (254 nucleotides) under uncultured bacterium. RNAcentral describes it as "partial 16S ribosomal RNA". It matches the Rfam family "Bacterial small subunit ribosomal RNA", at positions 524 to 776 of the family's 1533-position model. The record is from RNAcentral.